GGCUAGACCAAUGGUAGUGAGUUAUCUCAAUUGAUUGUUCACAGUCAGUUACAGAUUGAACUCCUCUACUCACUCCCCUCUUCUUGCUACUGCACUUGGCUAGUCUUUA
Unclassified non-coding RNA from Aotus nancymaae (Ma's night monkey), 109 nucleotides. It matches the Rfam family "Y RNA". Rfam says of the family: Y RNAs are components of the Ro ribonucleoprotein particle (Ro RNP), in association with Ro60 and La proteins. The Y RNAs and Ro60 and La proteins are well conserved, but the function of the Ro RNP is not known. In humans the RNA component can be one of four small RNAs -- hY1, hY3, hY4 and hY5. The record is from Ensembl. NCBI's taxonomy places the organism in Eukaryota, Metazoa, Chordata, Mammalia, Primates, Aotidae.